GACGAACGCUGGCGGCGUGCCUAAUACAUGCAAGUAGAACGCUGAAGGAAGGAGCUUGCUCUUUCUGGAUGAGUUGCGAACGGGUGAGUAACGCGUAGGUAACCUGCCUGGUAGCGGGGGAUAACUAUUGGAAACGAUAGCUAAUACCGCAUAAAAUUGAUUAUUGCAUGAUAGUCAAUUAAAAGGUGCAACUGCACCACUACCAGAUGGACCUGCGUUGUAUUAGCUAGUUGGUGGGGUAACGGCUCACCAAGGCGACGAUACAUAGCCGACCUGAGAGGGUGAUCGGCCACACUGGGACUGAGACACGGCCCAGACUCCUACGGGAGGCAGCAGUAGGGAAUCUUCGGCAAUGGACGGAAGUCUGACCGAGCAACGCCGCGUGAGUGAAGAAGGUUUUCGGAUCGUAAAGCCCUGUUGUAAGAGAAGAACGAGUGUGAGAGUGGAAAGUUCACACUGUGACGGUAUCUUACCAGAAAGGGACGGCUAACUACGUG
RNAcentral lists this ribosomal RNA (497 nucleotides) under uncultured bacterium. Its description in RNAcentral is "partial 16S ribosomal RNA". It matches the Rfam family "Bacterial small subunit ribosomal RNA", at positions 28 to 507 of the family's 1533-position model. The record is from RNAcentral.